CUGGAGAUUGCUCCUUUGUGGAGUUCUUGUGGUGAGCCUUGACACUGGCAAGCACCCAUCUUGACUGAAGGCCUCAGAGUUGGUGAUAUAAAUCCUACCUCACAUUGUCAUGCCUUUGAAUGUAAAUCUUGUGGAAAAUCCUUUCAGGAGGCUUCAGAAAAUCUUCCUUCAUUUCCAUUGCAACAUUCCUAGGCAAAAGACUCAUCAAGAGACGUUCCUGGAAUAACAGAACAACUUCUUCCUUCACUUUCAUAUUUCUGAAUUAAAGAAACAAACAACA
Coturnix japonica (Japanese quail) is the source of this 280-nucleotide non-coding RNA. The record is from RefSeq and is a predicted model, not a curated record. Lineage: Eukaryota; Metazoa; Chordata; Aves; Galliformes; Phasianidae.